GACGAACGCUGGCGGCGUGCUUAACACAUGCAAGUCGAACGGUAAGGCCCUGCUUUUGUGGGGUGCUCGAGUGGCGAACGGGUGAGUAACACGUGAGUAACCUGCCCUUGACUUUGGGAUAACUUCAGGAAACUGUGGCUAAUACCGGAUAGGAGCUCCUGCUGCAUGGUGGUGGUUGGAAAGGUUCGGCGGUUGGGGAUGGACUCGCGGCUUAUCAGCUUGUUGGUGGGGUAGUGGCUUACCAAGGCUUUGACGGGUAGCCGGCCUGAGAGGGUGACCGGCCACAUUGGGACUGAGAUACGGCCCAGACUCCUACGGGAGGCAGCAGUGGGGAAUAUUGCACAAUGGGCGGAAGCCUGAUGCAGCAACGCCGCGUGCGGGAUGACGGCCUUCGGGUUGUAAACCGCUUUCGCCUGUGACGAAGCGUGAGUGACGGUAAUGGGUAAAGAAGCACCGGCUAACUACGUG
RNAcentral lists this ribosomal RNA (468 nucleotides) under uncultured bacterium. RNAcentral's name for it is "partial 16S ribosomal RNA". It matches the Rfam family "Bacterial small subunit ribosomal RNA", at positions 28 to 507 of the family's 1533-position model. The record is from RNAcentral.